ACGCUCGACACCUACGGGAGGCAGCAGUGGGGAAUAUUGCACAAUGGGGGAAACCCUGAUGCAGCGACGCCGCGUGAAGGAAGAAGUAUUUCGGUAUGUAAACUUCUAUCAGCAGGGAAGAAGAAAGUGACGGUACCUGACUAAGAAGCCCCGGCUAACUACGUGCCGGCAGCCGCGGUAAUCUGAGCGGGCUGGCAAGGC
RNAcentral lists this ribosomal RNA (201 nucleotides) under uncultured bacterium. RNAcentral describes it as "partial 16S ribosomal RNA". It matches the Rfam family "Bacterial small subunit ribosomal RNA", at positions 328 to 539 of the family's 1533-position model. The record is from RNAcentral.